This is a long non-coding RNA of Neogale vison (American mink), 1929 nucleotides long. RefSeq lists it as uncharacterized. Lineage: Eukaryota; Metazoa; Chordata; Mammalia; Carnivora; Mustelidae. The record is from RefSeq and is a predicted model, not a curated record. The transcript has 2 exons.
GUGAUGACGUAACCGAAGCCAUUUUGGACAUUCAUUUUAUUUUGUGAGGUGUUUCGGAACGCUUAUUUUAGUCUUUACUUUUGGUCCCGUUGCGAAGGAGAGUUGUUCAAAAGGUCGAAAUAACUGAGUUCGGGAGAAACAGUUUAUAAUCGAGAAAAUGCCGCCUCUUGAAACGGAUAUAGCAGUGGAAGCCGGAGAAAGAGUAAGAUUUGAGUAUCGUGUAACACAGGAGCUUAAAAAUCUGUGUUCAGUAAUAAAGCAGCUAAUGUCAGAGCGCCUUAGACGUAUCAGGGAGUUGAAAGACAUAACGGAAAUGUGCAAGCCUGAUCAGUCACAAAAUCCAGUUACCGAAGUAAAUGCAGAACAAGAGAAACCGCAGGCAGGAGAAGAGGAAGAGUAAAAGAUUAGAAGCGAAAUCUACAGCAUCGGUUCAGCAGAUAUACAUAAUAGGAAUACCUGAAACAGAAGACAAAGCAAAUGAAGCUGAAACAAUAGGGACUAAUUGAAGAAAAUUAUCCAAAUUCGAAGAAAAAGCUAAAUCUGCAAAUAGAAAAGUUUAAUAGGUUACCAGUAAAACAACAGAAAGCAACACCUACUCAUAUCCCAUUGACUUUUUAAAAUUGGAAGGAUAAAGAAGAAAAAUUCUACGAGUAUUCAGAGAAAGCAAGUUAACUAUAAGAGAUAAAAGACUGACCCGAUUUUUCUUUUUCAGCUCUAAAUGCCGAAAGGCAGGGGAGCAAUAUCUCUAGUUUUAAGGGAAAAUAAUUUUGAGCCAAGAGUUAUAUAUCCUGCCAAGUUACGGUUUAUAUAUGAAGGCAACUGGAGGACGUUCCCACAUACACAGGAGUUAAGAGAGUUUUUUUUUUUUCUUUAUUUGUUAAAUGCUGUUACCUCAGCCCGCAAAAACGAGUAGUGAGGCAGUUGUAUGGAAAAAAAAAAAAAAAAAAGUCGGGUAAACAUUAAAGCUAGUUAAAUAUCAUUAAGAUUAAAUUGUUAUGUGUAGAGUUAUGAAACUAAAUGCAAAGAUAAAUUCUUAAGUUGGGUCUGUAAUUUCAGUUUGUCUUGUUUUAGACUGAAGAGAUAUGCUAAAUGUUCAAUUUAGAGACUACUGUUUUUAGUAUGUAAUGUGGAUAAAAGUAUGCAUGCUCUACAGCUACAAAAUAAAAGGGCUUUGUCACUGUGGUGGGGAAGGACACCUAUAGUAAAGGCAUUCCAAGUGUUAAUCUGAUAAAAUGGGAAGUUGGUACAGUUUUGUGUUCUUUAUUUUUAAUUACAGAGUGGGGAAAGUAACAAGUUUGUUUAUAAUGUUAAUAUUGACAGUGUAAAGAGAAAAUUUCUAAAUCCCUGACUGGGGAAGUGGUAGAUGAAAGCAUUGUUUUAUGUACAUCUUGCCUUGGGAAAACCAGUAGUAACCGUUUCAUGUAGUAGUUCAUUCUAAGUAAAUUUGACAAGGAGAUAAGUGUUACAGAUAAAAUUAGAAUGUACCAAUUUUAUGAAUUGGAAAAGUGGUGAAAAAACAAAGCAAGGAAACAUUAAAAUUAGCAUAAAAUAGAUUAACAGAGAUACAGGUGAAUUACCACACUCAUAAACGGACUAAGUACCCCUGUUAAAAAGAUUCAAAUUGGGUCAAAAAUCAAUCUCUGAACCUGGAUCUUCACAUUUGGAUAAAACAAAGGAUAAAGGAGUUUAAAGAUAAUGAAAACUGUUAAGUCAUAGAAAUUGAACUAGGGAACAACAUUUUUAUCAGAAUUUAAGUUGUAACAAACUAUAAAACAGUGUGGGAUGUAACUUUUAAGAAGCUUUAUGUGGUAAAUAAUAUGGCAUUCAUCUGUAAAAUGUUCACUGUCUUGAUAUGAGUUGUAGUUUUUCUGAUAGUUUUUAAAAUAUGUGUAUUUCAAGUACUUAAUAAAAUAAUUCUUAAUUCAGUUA